GUCAUGUUCCCCAUGUUCCAGGAGCUUGCACCACACGACCGACACGAUAAGUGUGGUCACCACUAUGCGGUCUGUCUUGACCUGAAGAACCAACGUAUCGAGGUGCUUGAUUCAAUCCGUUCGGAAGCUGAUGCAGACCUUACUACGCAUGCCGAAUUCUUCAUCAAGAACCUCAAAGAGACUUGGAACCGUCACUACGAACAUUCAAAGGUCCAGAUCAGGCAUUUCCCGACUGAGUAUGUGGCGACUAUGAAGCAAGGGAACACGACGGACUGUGGCUUUCACGCGCUGGAAUACUUUGCAAAGUGGGAAGGCAGAAUUGUCCCCGCUAUCACAGAUGCAACGGUCGUUGAGCUCCGAAAAAUCUGCACAUGGAACUGGCUGACGAAUGAAGAUUUCAACAAGCGGUCUGGAGCACGCGAGUUCGUGGAGGAAGCUGUCAAG
Molecule: ribosomal RNA, 444 nt
Filed under: Triticum aestivum (bread wheat)
Lineage: Eukaryota; Viridiplantae; Streptophyta; Magnoliopsida; Poales; Poaceae
Description: partial small subunit ribosomal RNA
Source: RNAcentral